GAUGAACGCUAGCUACAGGCUUAACACAUGCAAGUCGAGGGGCAGCAUGGUCUUAGCUUGCUAAGGCCGAUGGCGACCGGCGCACGGGUGAGUAACACGUAUCCAACCUGCCGUCUACUCUUGGACAGCCUUCUGAAAGGAAGAUUAAUACAAGAUGGCAUCAUGAGUCCGCAUGUUCACAUGAUUAAAGGUAUUCCGGUAGACGAUGGGGAUGCGUUCCAUUAGAUAGUAGGCGGGGUAACGGCCCACCUAGUCUUCGAUGGAUAGGGGUUCUGAGAGGAAGGUCCCCCACAUUGGAGCUGAGACACGGUCCAAACUCCUACGGGAGGCAGCAGUGUGGAAUAUUGGUCAAUGGGCGCAGGCCUGACCCAGCCAAGUAGCGUGAAGGAUGACUGCCCUAUGGGUUGUAAACUUCUUUUAUAAAGGAAUAAAGUCGGGUAUGUAUACCCGUUUGCAUGUACUUUAUGAAUAAGGAUCGGCUAACUCCGUG
This 490-nucleotide ribosomal RNA is filed under the name uncultured bacterium. RNAcentral's name for it is "partial 16S ribosomal RNA". It matches the Rfam family "Bacterial small subunit ribosomal RNA", at positions 28 to 507 of the family's 1533-position model. The record is from RNAcentral.